UAGCAAUGAGGAAAAUCUUUAGUGUUCCAGAGAUCGGCCUAAUUGAAGGUCUUUCAAUGACGGCAAACACAACCCUCUAAGAAGUUCUGAGCUU
Molecule: small nucleolar RNA, 94 nt
Organism: Amaranthus tricolor (Joseph's coat)
Lineage: Eukaryota; Viridiplantae; Streptophyta; Magnoliopsida; Caryophyllales; Amaranthaceae
Product: small nucleolar RNA U61
Exons: 1
Source: RefSeq, a predicted model, not a curated record